UUUUUCCCCUCAGAUUUCUGGCGAUAAAGGGAUAUAUUUAUAGCUUCAAGACCUGUUUGCCAAAGCAGUUGUUGGCUGACAUCACUGUCCAGUUAGCACCAUGAAGCUUCUCGCUGUCAUUAUGGCUGCCCUCUGUGUCACUGUCAUUAGUUCGGACCAGGUGACCACCCAGGGCUGCAUCUUUCGGACGCAGUUUGUUCCGGUUGGCGGCGUAAUUGCGACCGACUGUAACGACUGCAUCUGUGUGGGGCCUAACAAUCUGACGUGCACCAUGCUGGACUGCAAGAUCGUCUUACAUGGAUAGGACAAAAAACUCCUGGAAUAAUCUAAGACUUGCAUCUACAACUGACAGCUGCUGCGAUUCUCCAGCAAAUAUUUCUAAAGAUUACUUGCUGUCGAAAGCAGAUAAGGAAGACUACAAGCACAUUGUCUCAAUCACGAAAAAACCAAAACGCUUUUGAUAAGAUUGCAUGAUCCUGACAUCACGUUCAGUCGUGUACAUUUAUUGUUUUUAAAAUAAAAAAGCCUCCAAGUAUUCAUGAAAAAACAAUUAAAUGCAAUCGAAUUACUA
Long non-coding RNA from Pomacea canaliculata, 571 nucleotides. RefSeq lists it as uncharacterized. NCBI's taxonomy places the organism in Eukaryota, Metazoa, Mollusca, Gastropoda, Architaenioglossa, Ampullariidae. The record is from RefSeq and is a predicted model, not a curated record. The transcript is spliced from 2 exons.